AUUAGACUGAGAAACCUCCUGAGCUAUCUGCCUUAGCUGGCGCAGAGCCGCCAUUGUUGUCUUUUGAGCUAGCAAUGUUGAUGACUCAUAAAGUGGGCGCAACACUUCAGGCACACUCCAAGGCUCCAAGUCCACAUGAUCUACUACAUGAAUAAUUGAUCCACCUCCUUCACAAGGUCUAAUCAGAUACCCACUAGGUAGCAUUUCAGCCCUCACAAAAUGCUGUGUAGGUGGCAUACUUGGACCAUUCUGAGUGUUGUUAAGUGAUCUCUCACAAACCACAAGACUACCAU
RNAcentral lists this unclassified non-coding RNA (293 nucleotides) under Hevea brasiliensis (rubber tree). The record is from RNAcentral. Lineage: Eukaryota; Viridiplantae; Streptophyta; Magnoliopsida; Malpighiales; Euphorbiaceae.